Molecule: long non-coding RNA, 1336 nt
Organism: Chinchilla lanigera (long-tailed chinchilla)
Lineage: Eukaryota; Metazoa; Chordata; Mammalia; Rodentia; Chinchillidae
Exons: 2
Source: RefSeq, a predicted model, not a curated record
ACUGAGAUUUAUUAGGAAAAUGGCCCAAGGACACCUUGACCAGCACAUCUGAAGAUGCACUCUGACUUAAAUGCAACUGUCUUGUGCACCUCUCUGUUCAGUCUGUGCUAAAAAUGGGUUACAAUUCCUGAAACUGCUCCCUUGAGGCUCCCUCGCGAUGAGUGUUCUCGCUGGCACAGUCCCUCCGGACCUCUUCAUGUUUGGACCAAGUCUCGUCUCCAAGUAAUUUUUUCAUCCUCUGCGCCACCCUGAUCAUACACAGUGACAUCCUCUCAGCAUAGUUAUAAAAGCAGAACAGAAUGCAAAAAGUAGCCAUUUAAGGAUUGAAGAACAAAGAAUAGCAGGAGGACUGGGGAGAUAAUCAGCAUUCAGUGUUCCACCAACCAACAGAGUUUGUCCUUUUUUCCUCAACUCCAGCGUGCCUGCCCUUGCCCGGACUCGGGUGGCGGGGAUGUGGAGAGGACUGGAAGUGAGCAUGCCGCACGGUGCUCCGGGAGCAGCAGGAAAUACAACUUUGUGGGAGUGCAGGCACAGCAGUGUUGGGAACGUCCCAGCCUCUCGGUAGAAGCACCAAAAAAGGACAUUCCCCAGGGAACUGGCAGCACUGAAGAAAAUCAACUCCAGAAAGCUUUGGCAGGGAUGUGACCCUAACCAGGACAGUACUGAGGCAGCACGCUGCACUAAGGGGUUCAGCUCAGUGUCAAACACAACCAGAUCUGAACAGCACUGCAAAGGCUCAAGAGCACUCAACGCAGAAACCACAACCCACAAAAGCCUUUAGUCUUGCAGCCUAAACCCAAGUGGAUCAACUGCCUUCUAAAGGGAAAAGUAUCAACAUACUCCACAGACACUGAACAGUAAAGCCUCAGAACAGAAUCAGAAAAAUGUCUGAUAUUAAGUCCAAAAAUACAUGGGAUAUGAAGAACCAAGAAAAUCUGGAUUUCCAUGGAGAGGGGCAAGCAACAGAUGCAUGCACAGAGAAGACACAGAUGAGGGAAUUAUCUGAUAAAGAUCUUAAAGCAGCUAUCAGAAAAAUUCCCCACCAAGCUAUGGCAGAUAUCUGGAAAUGAACAGAAAGAACAUGUCAGCAAAAGGGCUGGGGACACAGCUCGCUGGUAGAGUGCUUGCCUGGAAUGCAUGAUGAAGGUCUGGCUUUAACCCCCAGUACCGCAAAGGGAAGGGAAGAGGAAGAAUGGGAAGGGGAAGGGAAAGGAAACUGAUUUCAAUCCAUAAACCUGAAAGAAGUACAGACUUCCCCAAAUGUUUGGAAACUAGCAGGUCUUGGCUAUACUUCAUAAGCUGUGUCUUGAAUCUCAAAUAGCAAGAAAAAAAAAAA